AGGUCGUGUUGUGUCCAAUUUCGUAUCAUCACCUUGUAACAUUCCCAAGCUUCAUAUAUUGUUUCCCCAUCAAAUUGUUGGAAGUUAAGGAUCUUCAUUUUCAGCUU
Molecule: small nucleolar RNA, 107 nt
Organism: Lactuca sativa (garden lettuce)
Lineage: Eukaryota; Viridiplantae; Streptophyta; Magnoliopsida; Asterales; Asteraceae
Source: RefSeq, a predicted model, not a curated record